Molecule: long non-coding RNA, 996 nt
Organism: Mauremys mutica (yellowpond turtle)
Lineage: Eukaryota; Metazoa; Chordata; Testudines; Geoemydidae
Exons: 3
Source: RefSeq, a predicted model, not a curated record
UCAUUGGGGAAGGUCUGUCUCCAGAGCAGGAGAUUAGCACCUGGGACAGCGCAGUGCUGGGCAGGCUCCGGGGAGCAGAAGGGAACUCCAGCCCACUACCUGCCAGGCUGCAGACCCUGAGGGAAGAGCCUAGCUGGUGCAAAGGGGGCCAAAGGGGAAGUGGCCCAGGGACAGCUGGACAAGGAGAGAGAAGGAGGGCAGGGAAGCUGCCACUAAAGGGUUGGGACCCAGAGUAGUGGGAGGGCCUGCUUCCCCCUUGUACUGCACCUGGCCAUGAAGUAGGGUGGCCGAAACAAUCCAAAUAAACUGCAACUGGCCCUUGAAACAAGGGGAUAGACUUUGGAGGCUGUGGUUGGCUGCUGAGGCCAGUGCAAGGACUGUUGCUAAGCCCCGCCCCCCCAAAGGGGGUGAGGAAGGAUUAGGGGGCACUGCCAGAGGGCAGUGUCCUGAAGAGGAAGACACCGGUGAGGAACAGAUGACGGAUGGGACAGCACCAGCAGAGGGCACUCCCCAUGGACUGAGCUAAUUCCUGGAGGUAACCAGCAGGAGGCGCCACAGUGAUCACUUCCUGGUGGAAGCCAGGAGAUGCUUUGAAAGCUGAUAUCUACCUGGUAAAGCAGUGGACAAAGAGCUGAUGGGACAUUGCCAGAGUUCCUCACAAUUCCUCAAGGAACCAGAUUCCUCUCUUGAUGAGAUCCGCGCUGAUGGCUGUGCAGAGUAACAUAGCUUGAGAAAGUGGCAAUACGAGCUCUCAAGUCUUACUAUAAACCAGUUUCUUGCCUGCUUUAAUACACGGAAGAGGAACUUUUUCAUCAUCACCAUCAUGCAUCCACACAUCCUAUGUCAUAAACAUGGAAGCAUUUUUAGUCUUAAGAUGGCAUUCAAGAGAGAGCCAAAUGCUGAUUUUAACUAUGAAUUCUCUUCCAGUUAUAAUUCAUAGCUUCUUCCUUUUUGUUAAUCAGUGACUGUUUUAUGUAUUAAAUAAUUAGUCUGUUU